UACGAAGGGGGCUAGCGUUGCUCGGAUUUACUGGGCGUAAAGGGCGCGUGGGCGGAUGGCACAGUCAGAUGUGAAAUUCCCAGGCUUAACCUGGGGGCUGCAUUUGAUACGUGUGAUCUAGAGUGAGGAAGAGGGUCGUGGAAUUCCCAGUGUAGAGGUGAAAUUCGUAGAUAUUGGGAAGAACACCGGUGGCGAAGGCGGCGACCUGGUCCUUGACUGACGCUGAGGCGCGAAAGCGUGGGGAGCGAACAGG
RNAcentral lists this ribosomal RNA (253 nucleotides) under uncultured bacterium. RNAcentral describes it as "partial 16S ribosomal RNA". It matches the Rfam family "Bacterial small subunit ribosomal RNA", at positions 524 to 776 of the family's 1533-position model. The record is from RNAcentral.